CUACGGGAGGCAGCAGUGAGGGAUAUUGGACAAUGGGGGCAACCCUGAUCCAGCCAUGCCGCGUGAGUGAUGAAGGCCUUCGGGUCGUAAAACUCUUUCAGAUGUGAAGAUAAUGACGGUAACAUCAGAAGAAGCUCCGGCUAACUUCGUGCCAGCAGCCGCGGUAAUACGAAAGGGGCGAGCGUUGUUCGGAAUCACUGGGCUUAAAGCGUACGUAGGCGGAUUAGAAAGUCAGAUGUGAAAUCCCGGGGCUCAACCCCGGAACUGCAUUUGAAACUUCUAGUCUAGUGUCCCGGAGAGGUUGGCGGAAUUCCGAGUGUAGAGGUGAAAUUCGCAGAUAUUCGGAGGAACACCAGUGGCGUAGGCGGCCAACUGGACGGGUACAGACGCUGAGGUACGAAAGCGUGGGGAGCAAACAGGAUUAGAUACCCCAGUAGUC
Molecule: ribosomal RNA, 439 nt
Filed under: uncultured bacterium
Lineage: Bacteria
Description: partial 16S ribosomal RNA
Rfam family: Bacterial small subunit ribosomal RNA
Source: RNAcentral